RNAcentral lists this long non-coding RNA (390 nucleotides) under Calidris pugnax (ruff). RNAcentral's name for it is "lncRNA (ENSCPUG00000010087.1)". The record is from RNAcentral. Lineage: Eukaryota; Metazoa; Chordata; Aves; Charadriiformes; Scolopacidae.
UUUACCAAAACGAGCUGUGGAGGCUAGGAAAGACACUGACGUCAAUGUAAAAGUAAACCAAAGAGGUCUGGUUCCUGUAUCAUCCCCGCGCCGGGCUGAGGGCUGGGGAGCCAGCGAGCAGGAGCACGGUCACCCGGUGGAGGAAUCUGGGAGAGAGCUCAGGGAUCGGCAGCUGAGGUUUCUCAUCCAGGCUGUGAACAGAUGUCUCUUUCCUGGGGCGAUAGCAUUCAGGUCCACGAGGAAAUUUUCUUACCGGCAGCUCCUCUAACAUAGAAGGGAGAUCGGGCCAGAGGUAAGUCCAUCCGUCGUGGAGGAAUACGCUGCAGGGAUCACUGCGGUGAAUGCUUUGGGAUAUCAGUCAGAGAGAAAGAGGUGUGGGGAGGACAUGGG